This is a long non-coding RNA of Scatophagus argus, 724 nucleotides long. RefSeq lists it as uncharacterized. NCBI's taxonomy places the organism in Eukaryota, Metazoa, Chordata, Actinopteri, Scatophagidae. The transcript has 5 exons. The record is from RefSeq and is a predicted model, not a curated record.
AUGUUUUGCCAGGAGUUAUUGCCACUGUUCUUCUUAGAUCCCACGCCACAGUAAGUGUGGGGGUUUUUUUAGUUUUGAUUUUGUUAAAUAAAGACUAUUGUUUUGACCUCUGCCUCGCAUCCCUGCUUUGACUCUGCAUCGGGUUUCAGCCUUUUUGCGUCAGCAACACCGCCGCUUUGUGACACUUGAAAGUGACACCCAUCCAGAACUGGACUCGAGGUUUCUGCAUCAUCCUGCUUUGUGUUCUGCUACAUCUGCACAGCUUUUGAAAGAUUUCAGCUGUUCUCCAGGAGCCACAUUCCUCAGAGGAAGAAAAGUCAGAGGGGAAUGGGUGCAUUAAGCAUUGUGUGGCAACCCAUUGUGAAGAAAAGGAGCUGUGGUCCUGGUUUGAACAACAGCUGAGGAUUAUAAAUGCAUUGAACUUGGUGUGAGCGCCUGCAGUGGACCAAAGCCCAAAAGAUUGCAGACUGGAUCAGGACAACUGCCACACCAUCGAGGACAAACAGAAUUCAUACUGUUUUUGAUAAAGAAAACAAUGUGUUUGUUGAUAGUACUGUUUUCAAUGUUCAAAUAAAAUGGAGACAUUUCAAAGAUGAUGACUUGUGUAACAGCCAGAAAGAUUAGAGAAGACUGAGUCACAAAAGAGGACCGGGAUAUGCAACUGCCACACCCUUGAGGACAAACAGAAUUCAGACUGUUUUUGAUAAAGAAAACAUUGUGUUUG